RNAcentral lists this ribosomal RNA (513 nucleotides) under uncultured bacterium. RNAcentral describes it as "partial 16S ribosomal RNA". It matches the Rfam family "Bacterial small subunit ribosomal RNA", at positions 28 to 523 of the family's 1533-position model. The record is from RNAcentral.
GACGAACGCUGGCGGCAUGCCUAAUACAUGCAAGUCGAGCGAACAGAUGAAGUGCUUGCACUUCUGACGUUAGCGGCGAACGGGUGAGUAACACGUAAGGAAUCUACCUAUAAGCGGGGGAUAACAUUCGGAAACGGGUGCUAAUACCGCAUAAUAUCUUCUUCCGCAUGGAAGAAGAUUGAAAGACGGCUCUGCUGUCACUUAUAGAUGACCUUGCGGUGCAUUAGUUAGUUGGUGGGGUAAUGGCCUACCAAGACGAUGAUGCAUAGCCGGCCUGAGCGGGUGCUCGGCCACAUUGGGACUGAGACACGGCCCAAACUCAUACGGGAGGCAGCAGUAGGGAAUCUGCCGCAAUGGGCGAAAGCCUGACGGAGCAAUGCCGCGUGAGUGUAGAAGGCCUUCGGGUCGUAAAACUCUGUUAUAAGAGAAGAACAAAUUGUAUAGUAACUGCUACAGUCUUGACGGUAUCUUAUCAGAAAGCCACGGCUGACUACGUGCCAGCAGCCGCGGUAA